RNAcentral lists this ribosomal RNA (330 nucleotides) under uncultured eukaryote. Its description in RNAcentral is "partial 18S ribosomal RNA". It matches the Rfam family "Eukaryotic small subunit ribosomal RNA", at positions 1470 to 1796 of the family's 1831-position model. The record is from RNAcentral.
CCCUUAGAUGUUCGGAGCUGCACGCGCGCUACGCUGAAGGAAGCAGCGUGUUAGAGCACCUGGCUUGAAAGAGCUGGGUAAUCCGGUGAAUGUCCUUCGUGAUUGGGAUAGGGACUUGUAAUUAUUUCCCUUGAACGAGGAAUACCUAGUAAGUGCGAGUCAUCAGCUUGCGCUGACUUACGUCCCUGCCCUUUGUACACACCGCCCGUCGCACCUACCGAUUGGAUGGUCCGGUGAAGCCUCGGGAUUGUGGUUCUUGCCGCUUUAUUGUGGCGUGACCGCGAGAACUUGUCUAAACCUUAUCAUCUAGAGGAAGGUGAAGUCGUAACA